CGAUGGGCACAAGGGAGGCAACUGCGUACGUCUCAUUUAUUACUGAAAAAUUCCUGCGCGAAAUCUCGUUCAUAAAAAUAGUGCCGAUAGGGGGUCGGAAUUACGUCGUUUUUAAGGUGGUUUUCGAUUGGAUAUGGUUAAAAUAACCACUUAUCAUAUAAGUUAAUACAUUUAUGUUCGCGGGCAAAGCACUUUCGUUUCCACACAGUUGCGUAGAAGAUUAAAAGAAAACCUCAGAAAAUUUCCGAGAUCGAGAAAAAUAGGUAAGAUACAUUGCCCAGUAGAAAAAUUGCUUUUAUUUUGUAGGUUAAUCAUUCUCCUUUCCAUUCAUGCCACUAAUUGCUUUGCAAAAUGCCGUGAUUCUGCUGGUUGUUGCUAAUGUAUGGACCGGUUUCAUGAAUGGCAAGAUGGCCGCCGUUGUUGACAAUUCAUACGACGUUAAUAUCAAUUGUUCUUUUUUUCCUCUGUAAAGUUGCCAAAAAAUGUGUUGUACGUGCUAAACAUCAUUGAAGGAUAUAUUUAUGCCGACAUUAUAUCGUAAUGACAUAUGUCUGAUACUAAUAAGUCAGAGUCUCAGGAUUGGGAAGAGUUUGACUCGGAGUCUGACAGUGAACGUUCGGAGCCUGACAGUGAGCGUGUAUCACCGCAGCCAGGUCAAUUUAAACAAGACCGGGCUGCAAUAGCUGAAAAGUUGAAGCUUCCGCGUCAGAUUACCGCAAGAAGCUGCCGUUUGUGAAUGCGGCCCCGAUAGAGGAGAUUGAGGCAAAGAAGCUGAAGGCAGCGGGAGGAAAAGAAAAGAAAUCAGGAAGAAAUCGCCAUAGGCGAUAACUGAAAAUAAGAUUUUUUAAACCAUUGGAUAGGUUUGUUAGUCACCUAUCUUAGGAAAAAUACUUACAGAUCCAUUAAAGUUCAAAUAACUAGUGUUAGGUCUUAUUUAAAUAAGAAGAAUUUUGGUUUUUGAACCUAUUUAAUGAAGCAAAUGAUUUUACUUUUGUUAAACAUGUGUGACAGUGAACUAUUGUCUUCAUGUUAACCUUAUUUAAGUAUUGGCUGUUGUUCUUGUGGUGUAUUUAUAAUUUGAGGACUUAUUUUACCUAAUGGACAAUUUAUUUUAAUUGAGUGAACAACAUAUAAAACUUGUCAAAACUAUUGAAAGCCCCCAUAAGAAUUUCACCGUUUUGUAGUGACCACUAUGUCUGCUCAUGACACUGUCGGUCUGACAUGUGAGAGUGCAGUUGAAGUAAAUUGAUUCAUCAAUCGUCAUUUAUGAAAAAUUUCAAUCUUUGGGAUUAGUUUUUGCCUAUAUGCUACCUUUGACUGACAAAAAACCCACAUCAACAAUGUUUUUUUGUUUUUUUAUUUGAACAACUCGUCAUCGUGAUUGGGAGGCAUGUGUCAUUUUAAUUCAUCAUUAUGUAAUGUCUGGUAAUUGGACAUUUCACAAGUAUUUAUAUAUUGUGUAUGCACAACAAAUAUAAAUUGUGUCAACAAAUUAUGUGUUAGUUCCACAUUAGUUAUCAUUGAAAAUAAAACCUUAAAAAAGCUGCAGGAUUG
Long non-coding RNA from Dreissena polymorpha, 1554 nucleotides. RefSeq lists it as uncharacterized. The record is from RefSeq and is a predicted model, not a curated record. NCBI's taxonomy places the organism in Eukaryota, Metazoa, Mollusca, Bivalvia, Myida, Dreissenidae. The transcript has 3 exons.